CCUACGGGAGGCAGCAGUGGGGAAUAUUGCACAAUGGGCGAAAGCCUGAUGCAGCGACGCCGCGUGAGGGAUGACGGCCUUCGGGUUGUAAACCUCUUUCAGCAGGGAAGAAGCGAAAGUGACGGUACCUGCAGAAGAAGCGCCGGCUAACUACGUGCCAGCAGCCGCGGUAAUACGUAGGGCGCAAGCGUUGUCCGGAAUUAUUGGGCGUAAAGAGCUCGUAGGCGGCUUGUCACGUCGGAUGUGAAAGCCCGGGGCUUAACCCCGGGUCUGCAUUCGAUACGGGCUAGCUAGAGUGUGGUAGGGGAGAUCGGAAUUCCUGGUGUAGCGGUGAAAUGCGCAGAUAUCAGGAGGAACACCGGUGGCGAAGGCGGAUCUCUGGGCCAUUACUGACGCUGAGGAGCGAAAGCGUGGGGAGCGAACAGGAUUAGAUACCCUGGUAGUCCACGCCGUAAACGUUGGGAACUAGGUGUUGGCGACAUUCCACGUCGUCGGUGCCGCAGCUAACGCAUUAAGUUCCCCGCCUGGGGAGUACGGCCGCAAGGCUAAAACUCAAAGUNUAAGUGCGNGNGAGACGCGACGACGACGACGACGGAGGAG
RNAcentral lists this ribosomal RNA (600 nucleotides) under uncultured bacterium. RNAcentral describes it as "bacterial SSU rRNA". It matches the Rfam family "Bacterial small subunit ribosomal RNA", at positions 338 to 946 of the family's 1533-position model. The record is from RNAcentral.